Molecule: long non-coding RNA, 571 nt
Organism: Carassius carassius (crucian carp)
Lineage: Eukaryota; Metazoa; Chordata; Actinopteri; Cypriniformes; Cyprinidae
Exons: 3
Source: RefSeq, a predicted model, not a curated record
AUAGUACCUGUUUCUUCAACAGAACUCUGCCAAAAACACUUUGCAGUUCUAGACGUUUUCUGAGUGUCAUGACAGAUCUCACCAAAGAACGCCAGCAUCAGUAUGUUCCCCGUAUGCAAACCCAAGACACAAUUUCACUGGGUCCAUAAGUCCUCAAAAACUUCUGCUGAAGAUCAUCCAGUUCUGCAGGCAGAGGGAUAUUCAACUCCUGAUUCAGAGUCAAUGCCUCAAAACAGUCCUCCAACUUCUGAAAAGCAGGCCUGAAGGAGACCGGAAGUGGAAAGAGAUAAAAGACAUCCAUUAAGAAAAACAAGCCUACAAAAACACCUAUGUUUAUAGCAGACUGCCAAUUACCUGGAGGAACACACACACAAAAAACUUGAGCACAAUAUUCUCAGAAAGCAAUAAAGGUGAUUUUAUUUAUUUAUAUACAACUAAACAGUUAAAUUAGAUUAACAGAGAGGAAAAACACCAUUAUAGUCACUGUUUGACAUUUUUAAAUCUUUCAGAUGCAGCAUGUAAAUGUUUCUGUGAUUACCAGAUUACCAUUAAGAUUUAAAGAAACAAGCAU